Puntigrus tetrazona (Sumatra barb) is the source of this 354-nucleotide long non-coding RNA. RefSeq lists it as uncharacterized. Lineage: Eukaryota; Metazoa; Chordata; Actinopteri; Cypriniformes; Cyprinidae. The record is from RefSeq and is a predicted model, not a curated record. The transcript is spliced from 3 exons.
UGUGCCUGAUGAAAGUAAGCUCUUCAACUCCAGUAAUGUCAAUGUCCCGGGACGCUGGGUGUUUCGUGUUGACGGUGGACCUGAGGAGGGAGUAUUCUACCCAUAUGGAGAUGAAGAGGAUGAGAUGUGUCCUCAGUCAGAUGAUGGAAGUUCUCCACCGAUUCCUCUUCUGCAGCCGUUUGUGUACUUUGGCCGAGUAUAUGACAAAAUAUUUGUGAAUAAUAAUGGAGACCUGACUUUUGAUGAGCCUUUUUCCCAGUAUCAACCCUAUUAUUUUCCUAAAUACUCGACUAAAGACAUUAUCGCUCCACUAUGGACAGACAUUAAUAAUAAUGAGAAAGGAACCAUCUCUUA